CAGUAGCCGCGGUAAUACGUAGGGUGCAAGCGUUAAUCGGAAUUACUGGGCGUAAAGCGUGCGCAGGCGGUUUUGUAAGACAGAGGUGAAAUCCCCGGGCUCAACCUGGGAACUGCCUUUGUGACUGCAAGGCUAGAGUACGGCAGAGGGGGAUGGAAUUCCGCGUGUAGCAGUGAAAUGCGUAGAUAUGCGGAGGAACACCGAUGGCGAAGGCAAUCCCCUGGGCCUGUACUGACGCUCAUGCACGAAAGCGUGGGGAGCAAACAGGAUUAGAUACCCCAGUAGUCCCUGUCUCUUAUAA
RNAcentral lists this ribosomal RNA (301 nucleotides) under uncultured bacterium. RNAcentral's name for it is "partial 16S ribosomal RNA". It matches the Rfam family "Bacterial small subunit ribosomal RNA", at positions 509 to 809 of the family's 1533-position model. The record is from RNAcentral.